AGUGAACGCUGGCGGUAGGCCUAACACAUGCAAGUCGAACGGCAGCACAGUAAGAGCUUGCUCUUACGGGUGGCGAGUGGCGGACGGGUGAGGAAUACAUCGGAAUCUACUUUUUCGUGGGGGAUAACGUAGGGAAACUUACGCUAAUACCGCAUACGACCUACGGGUGAAAGCAGGGGAUCUUCGGACCUUGCGCGAUUGAAUGAGCCGAUGUCGGAUUAGCUAGUUGGCGGGGUAAAGGCCCACCAAGGCGACGAUCCGUAGCUGGUCUGAGAGGAUGAUCAGCCACACUGGAGCUGAGACACGGUCCAGACGCCUACGGGAGGCAGCAGUGGGGAAUAUUGGACAAUGGGCGCAAGCCUGAUCCAGCCAUACCGCGUGGGUGAAGAAGGCCUUCGGGUUGUAAAGCCCUUUUGUCGGGAAAGAAAAGCAGCAGGUUAAUACCCCGCUGUUCUGACGGUACCCAAAGAAUAAGCACCGGCUAACUUCGUG
RNAcentral lists this ribosomal RNA (492 nucleotides) under uncultured bacterium. Its description in RNAcentral is "partial 16S ribosomal RNA". It matches the Rfam family "Bacterial small subunit ribosomal RNA", at positions 29 to 507 of the family's 1533-position model. The record is from RNAcentral.